UCUUUAGUGUAAGUAUAUCCUGUGCAAUAUUUGGUACAUACUUACACUAAAA
Molecule: microRNA precursor, 52 nt
Filed under: Pteropus alecto (black flying fox)
Lineage: Eukaryota; Metazoa; Chordata; Mammalia; Chiroptera; Pteropodidae
Description: mir-1302 microRNA precursor family
Rfam family: mir-1302 microRNA precursor family
Source: Rfam by way of RNAcentral